AACUUAUCAAGAGCGGCGGAGGGAACUGCCCGAUGAAGCCCGACAACCUGCGGUUUUGCAAGGUGUCAAGUCAGCGAAAAUUCGUUUUCGGCAGAUGAGUG
This is a regulatory RNA element of Ruminococcus sp. CAG:382, 101 nucleotides long. It matches the Rfam family "SAM riboswitch aptamer (S box leader)". Rfam says of the family: The SAM riboswitch is found upstream of a number of genes which code for proteins involved in methionine or cysteine biosynthesis in Gram-positive bacteria. NCBI's taxonomy places the organism in Bacteria, Bacillati, Bacillota, Clostridia, Eubacteriales, Oscillospiraceae. The record is from Rfam.